Molecule: ribosomal RNA, 253 nt
Filed under: uncultured bacterium
Lineage: Bacteria
Description: partial 16S ribosomal RNA
Rfam family: Bacterial small subunit ribosomal RNA
Source: RNAcentral
UACGUAGGUGGCGAGCGUUGUCCGGAUUUAUUGGGCGUAAAGCGCGCGCAGGUGGUGCGGUAAGUCCUGUGUGAAAUCUCCCGGCUCAACUGGGAGGGUGCGGAGGAGACUGCCGGACUGGAGGCACUCAGAGGCCGGUGGAAUUCCCGGUGUAGUGGUGAAAUGCGUAGAGAUCGGGAGGAACACCAGUGGCGAAGGCGGCCGGCUGGGGGUGACCUGACGCUGAGGCGCGAAAGUGUGGGGAGCGAACAGG